AUUUGAAUUUCAUUGGCUUAACAUUAAGUUUUAAACUUAAUAUCUAUAAAUUGAAUGUAAAAGUAGGAUAUCUUAAAAUAAUUUUAUCAGUAUUAUGAUGUCUGACAGAAAGAAUGAUUGUUAUCUAGUACACAUGCUAAUGCUUGCAGGUGUUCAAUUAUUUGAGGUACCUAUUUAGAGUGAAAAGUAGCACAUUGGACAAAAUGUUCAUUAAACAAAACACAAGUAUGUCGUCUGACAUAGAAUCUGUAUUGACACA
This 259-nucleotide long non-coding RNA is filed under the name Mytilus galloprovincialis (Mediterranean mussel). The record is from RNAcentral. Lineage: Eukaryota; Metazoa; Mollusca; Bivalvia; Mytilida; Mytilidae.